Molecule: ribosomal RNA, 253 nt
Filed under: uncultured bacterium
Lineage: Bacteria
Description: partial 16S ribosomal RNA
Rfam family: Bacterial small subunit ribosomal RNA
Source: RNAcentral
UACGUAGGGUGCAAGCGUUGUCCGGAAUUAUUGGGCGUAAAGAGCUCGUAGGCGGUCUGUCGCGUCGUCUGUGAAAUCUCGGGGCUCAACCCCGAGCCUGCAGUCGGGACGGGCAGACUAGAGUGCUGUAGGGGAGCCUGGAAUUCCUGGUGUAGCGGUGAAAUGCGCAGAGAUCAGGAGGAACGCCGGUGGCGAAGGCGGGUCUCUGGGCAGUAACUGACGCUGAGGAGCGAAAGCGUGGGGAGCGAACAGG